This 429-nucleotide ribosomal RNA is filed under the name Bryodemella holdereri. RNAcentral's name for it is "partial large subunit ribosomal RNA". It matches the Rfam family "Archaeal large subunit ribosomal RNA", at positions 1998 to 2629 of the family's 2987-position model. Lineage: Eukaryota; Metazoa; Arthropoda; Insecta; Orthoptera; Acrididae. The record is from RNAcentral.
AUUUAAAGAGCCGCGGUAUUUUGACCAUCCAAAGGUAGCAUAAUCAUUAGUUUCUUAAUUAGAGGCUUGAAUGAAUGGUUUAACAGAGAAAUUAACUGUCUCUUAAUAAAUUUUAGAAUUUAACUUUUAAGUUAAAAGGCUUUAAAUAUUUCUUUAGGACGAGAAGACCCUAUAGAGCUUGACAUUUAUAAAUUUUAUAUUAUUUUAGGUUAUCUUUUUAUGUAAGUUUUUUAAUGUUUGGUUGGGGUGACAUGAAGAAUAAUUAAACUCUUCAUUAUAAAAUCAUUGAUUUAUGUUCAUUUGAUCCAUAAUUUAUGAUCAAAAGAUUAAGUUACCUUAGGGAUAACAGCGUAAUCAUUUUUGAGAGUUCAUAUCGACAAAAUGGAUUGCGACCUCGAUGUUGGAUUAAGAUUAAUUUUAGGUGUAGUA